This 522-nucleotide ribosomal RNA is filed under the name Myrmecophaga tridactyla (giant anteater). RNAcentral describes it as "partial 12S ribosomal RNA". It matches the Rfam family "Bacterial small subunit ribosomal RNA", at positions 556 to 1362 of the family's 1533-position model. The record is from RNAcentral. Lineage: Eukaryota; Metazoa; Chordata; Mammalia; Pilosa; Myrmecophagidae.
CGGCGUAAAGAGUGUUUAGGAUGAUUACCCAAAUAAAGUUAAACUAUUACUAAGCCGUAAAAAGCCCCAGUAUAAAUAAACCCAACAACGAAAGUGACUUUAGCAUGUCCGAACACACGACAACUAGGACCCAAACUGGGAUUAGAUACCCCACUAUGCCUAGCCGUAAACAUAAAUAUUCAAACAACAAGAAUAUUCGCCAGAGUACUACUAGCAAUAGCUAAAAACUUAAAGGACUUGGCGGUGCUUCAUAUCCACCUAGAGGAGCCUGUUCUAUAAUCGAUAAACCCCGAUAAACCUCACCACUUCUUGCUAAUGCAGCCUAUAUACCGCCAUCUUCAGCAAACCCUAAAAAGGUAGUACAGUAAGCAUAAUUAUAAACAUAAAAACGUUAGGUCAAGGUGUAGCCUAUGAGGUGGAAAGAAAUGGGCUACAUUUUCUAAUUAUAGAGAACACGAAAGCCUUAAUGAAAACGAAGUCCGAAGGAGGAUUUAGUAGUAAGUCAAAAAUAGAGUGCUUGAC